CCCUUAGACGUUCUGGGCCGCAUGCGCGCUACACUGACCAGUGCAACAAGCAUCCGUCCUUGGCCGACAGGCCCGGGCAAUCUUUGAACGCUGGUCGUGAUGGGGAUAGACUUUUGCAAUUUUUGGUCUUCAACGAGGAAUUCCUAGUAAACGCAAGUCAUCAACUUGCAUUGAUUACGUCCCUGCCCUUUGUACACACCGCCCGUCGCUACUACCGAUUGAAUGGCUCAGUGAGGCCUCCGGACUGGCUUAGGGAGGUUGGCAACGACCACCCCGAGCCGGGAAGCUGGUCAAACUCGGUCAUUUAGAGGAAGUAAAAGUCGUAACA
RNAcentral lists this ribosomal RNA (328 nucleotides) under uncultured eukaryote. RNAcentral's name for it is "partial 18S ribosomal RNA". It matches the Rfam family "Eukaryotic small subunit ribosomal RNA", at positions 1470 to 1796 of the family's 1831-position model. The record is from RNAcentral.